This 793-nucleotide ribosomal RNA is filed under the name uncultured bacterium. RNAcentral describes it as "bacterial SSU rRNA". It matches the Rfam family "Bacterial small subunit ribosomal RNA", at positions 135 to 917 of the family's 1533-position model. The record is from RNAcentral.
AGCGGGGAUAACUAUUGGAAACGAUAGCUAAUACCGCAUAAGAACAUUUACUGCAUGGUAGAUGUUUAAAAGGUGCAAAUGCAUCACUACCAGAUGGACCUGCGUUGUAUUAGCUAGUAGGUGAGGUAACGGCUCACCUAGGCGACGAUACAUAGCCGACCUGAGAGGGUGAUCGGCCACACUGGGACUGAGACACGGCCCAGACUCCUACGGGAGGCAGCAGUAGGGAAUCUUCGGCAAUGGGGGGAACCCUGACCGAGCAACGCCGCGUGAGUGAAGAAGGUUUUCGGAUCGUAAAGCUCUGUUGUUAAGGAAGAACGAGUGUGAGAAUGGAAAGUUCAUACUGUGACGGUACUUAACCAGAAAGGGACGGCUAACUACGUGCCAGCAGCCGCGGUAAUACGUAGGUCCCGAGCGUUGUCCGGAUUUAUUGGGCGUAAAGCGAGCGCAGGCGGUUAGAUAAGUCUGAAGUUAAAGGCAGUGGCUCAACCAUUGUAGGCUUUGGAAACUGUUUAACUUGAGUGCAGAAGGGGAGAGUGGAAUUCCAUGUGUAGCGGUGAAAUGCGUAGAUAUAUGGAGGAACACCGGUGGCGAAAGCGGCUCUCUGGUCUGUAACUGACGCUGAGGCUCGAAAGCGUGGGGAGCGAACAGGAUUAGAUACCCUGGUAGUCCACGCCGUAAACGAUGAGUGCUAGGUGUUAGGUCCUUUCCGGGACUUAGUGCCGCAGCUAACGCAUUAAGCACUCCGCCUGGGGAGUACGACCGCAAGGUGAAACUCAAAGGAAUUGACGGC